GUGAGAGUUGGCGGCGGGAGAAGGGUGGAGGAGCAUAGUUGAAGGCGGGGGAGGUUUUAUAGGGGCGAGGGGGAAGCGAAGGUGACACAGGUGGAAGGGGAGAAGGCAAGAGGCGGCUGGCCAUUGAUGGCGGCGGUGGUGGUGAAGCGGCAGUUACGGGUGGGGACAGGAAGCGAAGGGGCGGCGGCGUGCGCGUGGGAGGCGGAGGGACGCGGGGAGGGUGAGCGUCGCGGAUGCGGGAGGCCGAGCAGCACAACACACGGGGUGGUGCCGGCCGAAGGUAGGGGGUGGCCCUGACGGGUGGGGUCACCCUGUCGGUGAGGAAGAGAUGGGGAGAGGGGAGGUGGGCCGGGCUGGCGGAAGGAAAAAAGGGCCGGUGGCCUGCUGUUGGGCUGGGCCAGAAAAUGAAAAAGGAGGCCGGGAUGGGUUGGGCUAGAGAAAGAGGAAAAAGAGGUUGAGGGGGUUUUCUCUUCUCUUUCUCUUUUUUUUUAAAUUUUGCAAACACAACUCAAAUAAAACCAAUGCAAACGAAAUGCAUGCAUCAACCACUUAUUGAUUCUAAAGUUAUUUCAAGUGUUAUUUAAAUUAUUAAAGGCUGAGAUUUAUUUAAAAAAUUUAUUAAUUCCUUAGAAAUCUAGAUCGACACAAGCUACUUACAUUGUUGUUGUGAUGGAAUUUUGGGUGUUCACAUAGUCCUUAUCCUUUUUUGAGGUAAGCUUCAGAUGUGUUUCGUAAGUUUUAUAGCUGUCAGCCUGCAUGAAACAUAAUUCAUGAAUAAUUACGAACUUUAAUGGCAAUGAUUGUAAAAUAAUAAUGUCAAUAAUUUUAACAAUAUAGGAAAUGCCCAUUGUGUCAAGCAUUAAGCGUGGAAGCAUUAACAAUAGGGAGCUUUUCUUCUCCUCCUUCCUGAUUCCUCCUUUUCUUCCUC
This 928-nucleotide long non-coding RNA is filed under the name Setaria viridis. RNAcentral's name for it is "long non-coding RNA (SVIR_LNC002247)". Lineage: Eukaryota; Viridiplantae; Streptophyta; Magnoliopsida; Poales; Poaceae. The record is from RNAcentral.